UUGGAUCGCCAAGCUGGAUUGGGUGGG
This 27-nucleotide non-coding RNA is filed under the name Mus musculus (house mouse). The record is from RNAcentral. Lineage: Eukaryota; Metazoa; Chordata; Mammalia; Rodentia; Muridae.